UACUUUCCUAGACAUAGCCUGGGAUGAGAGUGAACUCACUUCAUGCAAGUCUGCAGCUCCAGGUUGCACUGCAAGGAGGACAAAGCCAGGUGGCUGUAUGCAUGCUGUGGAAAGCAGGAGCACUCCGAAUGAGUAACGGUUCCUGUACAGAUUCCUGGACGGAGCCUGGGAUGAGAGUGAACUCACUUCGCUCCAGUAUGCACCUCCAAGUUGCACUGCAAGGAGGAUGAUGCCAGGGGGUUCUCACCAUGCAUCGAACAAGUACAAAAUGUUUCACAGCAUGACUGCCGUAUGAGAGCAGGACUCUUAGUUGCAAACAGUACCUCACCUGUGGAGUGAUUGAAGUCCAGGGGCCUGGCCGGCUCACACUGUGUAGGAGCUCCUCAAGGCCUUCUCAAGCCUCCUGCUUUCCUGCCGGCUUGAUGACAGUCUCACUGCAUGGCAAAAUCUUCCAUAAGCAUAUCCCUGGAGGAGACAGCAAGUGAGGCCUGGAUCCCUGUGAAGCUGACUAGUCCCCAAAACUUGGGCCAUGCAGAAAGGUAUGAGUGAUGGCUCUCCCAGCUGUGAAGGGGUUCUAGUCAUUCUUUGGGAGGCAGCGAAGAUUGAAUGCCUGCUCACUGCGCAUUGAUUGGCUGUUUGAACCUUCUGCCAUUGGAUGUCCAGGGGAAGGGCAUUCUUAUUCAGGUACUAGGCUCCGUGCCUUUGUUCAAGAGGGUCCAGCAGGGAUAAUGGUGUGCUCACUCUGACCAAGUAGUCCUCAUGGGAGCCAUGCCUAGAAGAUGCACCGAGGGCAGAUUUGCUGCAUGCUUAGCGCUACUCACCAGCCCUCCCUAUGUCUGACUCUUCCAGGAGGAAAGCACAUUUCCGUGACUACCUAUCCUGAAUGAGUCCACCAGGUGGAGCCGAGGAACAGGGCCAUUUCACUUUGUUGUGGC
Long non-coding RNA from Fukomys damarensis (Damara mole-rat), 935 nucleotides. RefSeq lists it as uncharacterized. Lineage: Eukaryota; Metazoa; Chordata; Mammalia; Rodentia; Bathyergidae. The record is from RefSeq and is a predicted model, not a curated record. The transcript is spliced from 3 exons.